UUGUAUGAGCUUCUGCAGGUCCCUUUCAGCGUUGAAGAUCCAGAUUACCAGGGGCUUGAGCUGGAUCUGAUUUCCCCAUGUGAGAAGCACGACAUGGCAUCUGAGAGGCUUGUUGCCUUUGAAGGAACAGACACAGGCAGGAGGUUUUUAGCAUGUGCACAGCCGGAAGGGGAGAAUUGUGGGUUUGUUGAAUGGGUUGAUCAUCAGUGGCCCCCAACAAUGCAGAAUGCAUUGUUGAAGCUGUGGGCAAUGGUUGAAGAUAGCAAGAGUGCUAGGAUGAAUGAUAAUCUUGAAAGUGCUUUAACUAUUCACCAUCUGACAGAAGAGAAGAACAACCCGGAGGCCAACUAUGACAAGUUAGUCCAAGAUGUGCAUGAGCUUAUGAACUUCUAGGAGGAGAGGGUGGUGGAUUUCAGAUAUCUGCAGUCUAACAUUACAUAUCAGUAGCAAUGCAGAAGUGAACUGGUGGCUGAUAUGAAGGCAGAGAUGGCAAAGAAAGAUGCAGAGUCGAAGAAGCUUAAUCAGAAGUAUCAACUGCUGGUGAACCUGACAGGAGCUCAAGCACUACAGGAAUCAGCUACUUUGCCGUCUGCCAUGGCAGACGGCAAAGGCAAGGAUGGUGGACGGCAAAAGGCUCCGGCAAAGUAG
RNAcentral lists this ribosomal RNA (648 nucleotides) under Triticum aestivum (bread wheat). RNAcentral's name for it is "partial small subunit ribosomal RNA". Lineage: Eukaryota; Viridiplantae; Streptophyta; Magnoliopsida; Poales; Poaceae. The record is from RNAcentral.